Molecule: long non-coding RNA, 224 nt
Filed under: Elaeis guineensis (African oil palm)
Lineage: Eukaryota; Viridiplantae; Streptophyta; Magnoliopsida; Arecales; Arecaceae
Description: long non-coding RNA (EGUI_LNC041219)
Source: RNAcentral
GGGUUGAAUCCACAGAGAAGGUAGUAUUUUAAUUUUAAAUCUUUGAUUUUAUAAAAUAAAAUAAAAUUUAAAAAAAUAAUUUAAAUCAAAAAUAAAAAUUAAAAGUAUGAAAAAUAAAUCAAAUACUAAGAUCUACUAUUUAGAUCCUAGCUUCUACAUAUAAUAAAAAUAAAUAACAAGAAUUUAAAGUGUAUAAAAUAAAUUGGUACUAAGAUUUACUAACU